Non-coding RNA from Vicia faba (fava bean), 303 nucleotides. Lineage: Eukaryota; Viridiplantae; Streptophyta; Magnoliopsida; Fabales; Fabaceae. The record is from the annotation of a GenBank genome assembly.
AUGCAAUCACCGUUCUACCCUUCCCCUCUCCCGCCUCUUCGACUUCCCUCUGUAAAUCCCAACCGUCCGUUCAUCAACAUCAACAGCUCCCUCAUCUCUCUUCAUUGCGUCCCUAAAGGCAGACAGGAUGGAGCCAGGCAUAAUAUAAUAUCUCUAUAUUUUAAUAUUUAUUCUCUCUCUCUCUCUCUCUCUCUCUUUUUUUUCUUCUUUCAGUUUUCAUCAUCAACAACACUUCUUUUAUUUUUCUCUUUAUUUUCCUUCUCAUCGACCAUGGAUUUUGUUGUUAUUAUUCUCCAAAACUAG